UGCAGACCGUGGAGGAGAAAGGAGAAAAAGGAAUGGCCUUCAGAUGAUCAGAGAAAGUACCUGAUGCUGGAAAACAGGAAACUGCAUCAUGUCAGCAAACUGUGCCUUUUGUCGUGCACUGUUACAACUUGGCAAAAGAAUACUGAAAUCAGAGGAUCCAAAGAAACGAGUUGUCACCAGCUAGCUGCAGAACACCAAGCGAGUCAGCUACCUCUGGGCUCAAUGUUUCAUCUGUGAAAGAAGAGGCCAAAUUAUGCUACAGUCUGUGUUUCCAACAAGUUCUCAUUCUCCAUGAGAUAUGUUAUCUAACACUUUAUGGCUUAUUUUACCUACUUGAGGAUAAGGUAAUUUUAAAUUUUAAAAUGUUUGCUUAAAUGUCCAAAUUUUGACAAUGAAUAGUUCUCUGAUCCUCAUUCCAUUAUAUUCAAGCUAUUUCUUUAUAGAAAGAUGUUGUUUGUGCCACUCCAAUGAAACUGAAAAGAGAAUAUAAUGACAGCACCAACAGGAAUGUAAGAUGCAAAUUCUGCAAACCAGACAGAAGAGGGAGCUAUCCAUCUGAAAAUUAACCAAUCCUUUCAAAAACAUGUCAAAUAAAUAUAGAAACAAAUUCGAAUAUAAUCAAGUCUUAUUUAGUCUUAUACUUAAUAACAACACCAUAAACUUUCUGGUGCAUUAAAAAUGAGAAAAUAAAGCUACCAGCAAUGGCGAAAACAUUGAGGUAAUUAAUGAAGAGGCAAAAAAUAUAAACCAUUGAAAGGCCAAUGAAAAAUACACUCGCACUUUAUGGCUUGAUCUCACAUUUUAUAGCAAAAUGUAGAACCAGAACAUACCUCCAAAAGCUGAAAUAACAUUCUGCAACUGCACACAUCACUACUAUUACCUUCCUAUAGACUUUGCUCAUAAAAGGGAAUUCUUUCUUUAAAAUUGAUAACAUCUGGAAAUAAUGCAAAAAAGAAAAAACUGUUGGGCUGCAUCUGUCUUGAAAAUACUAUGUAAUAAGAUUUACUUAAUAUAUUUGAAAGAGGAAAAAAAAUGUUUUGUUCCCCAAUUUGUUGCAACAUCUGAAAGUUCAUGAGGUUAUGACCUCUCUUUAAGAAAGCAUCUCCCACCACCUGCAAAUACCCCAGGAAAAGCAGUUGGAAACAAUAAAACACGUGCUAGUUAACUGUUACCAGGGAAACGGUUCUGGUUCACCAAUCAGAGCGCCUGUGCUUCCCAGUGGCUUUGUCUGAGGGAGACAUGCGCCAGCUGUUAGUGAAUAACCAUUGUUAUAGAUCAUCAGGAAAUCACAGUCAGCAGGCAACCCAGCCCCACUGGAAGUUUAUUUCUCAUAUUUGUUCAUCACCAGGGCAAUCCUCCACCUUUAAAACAUCCCCUCAGGCUGGGUUAACUAAAUAACACCCUGCACGAGUAGGCUCAUUUAAAGGAGACAAGUUGCAAAAUGGUCUCUGCACAGCAAACAGAUUUCUAACUUUAAUUCCAACCACAUCACCCUCCUGCCCCUUCCCUUUUCAAGGGCUAUUGUAGGGCAAAUAUCUUAAGUCUCCACCUCUUUGAGUGCUGUUCCUCCUCUCUGUGAUUGGGCACUUAGCCACACACAUGUACACACUCCAAGGGCUUUCAUACCUUACCUUCCAAGACCUACGGAAGGCUGGGCAGUUCCCCAUGCUAGAGAUGGUGCCCCUGGGAAAGGAGAGGCUCUGCAGGGACUGUGUAGGCCACCAUAAGCGAAAGGACCAAGAGGACAAAACCCUGGCUCCUCCCUCACCUACAUGCAUAUUUCAAGUAGACAGCCCCACUUCUGUUGAUUUUAUAUUUUGAUAAUAAACGUAUAAAUUCAUAAAUUUCUUUUGCUUUUACAAGUUUAAAAAACAGCUCUACACCUACCCAGUCAUCAGUCAUCUUAAAAAAUAAAAACACCUAGACUUCUAGUUUCAGGUCCAGUUACGAACUUAGAAGUCACCAUAAUGUCCUAACAAGUACAAAGCUGUAUAAACUGAAAAAUGAAUGACUCUUCUUAGAUCAAAGGAGUGAGGUCACAGGGCAAACUGCUGCUCCUGCAAUUGGAAAAACAGACAGGCAGAUCCAGAAAACCACCACUUACCAGAGAAGAAACCCAGGAACACAAACUUCUUUGGGAACCAGUGGUAGGGAAGGAAAACCAGAACUACAAUUACUGGAGAAUCAGCACCAACGAGUUUGAGAGUUAAAAGCUACAGGGGGAUUGAUUAUAGAGGGACCCCCUAUAUGUAACCUAUUGAGGGUCAAAGAUGAAAAUUGCAUCUAACUGGUCCUCAGAAACCAUGCAAGUAAGAAGAGAAUGUUGGAAGAUACUUAAAUUGCUGAGAGAAAAACACCAUUUUAGAAUUCUGUACCCUGUGAACUUAUCAUUCAAAAGUAAAGAAGAAAUAAAGACUUUCUCAAACAAAUAAAAAUUGAGAAAUAUGGCGCCAGUAGACCUGACUUGCAAACAUUAAAAUUUCUUCAG
Tupaia belangeri chinensis (Chinese tree shrew) is the source of this 2488-nucleotide long non-coding RNA. RefSeq lists it as uncharacterized. The transcript is spliced from 4 exons. NCBI's taxonomy places the organism in Eukaryota, Metazoa, Chordata, Mammalia, Scandentia, Tupaiidae. The record is from RefSeq and is a predicted model, not a curated record.